RNAcentral lists this ribosomal RNA (520 nucleotides) under uncultured bacterium. RNAcentral describes it as "bacterial SSU rRNA". It matches the Rfam family "Bacterial small subunit ribosomal RNA", at positions 366 to 895 of the family's 1533-position model. The record is from RNAcentral.
GCGCAAUGGGCGGAAGCCUGACGCAGCGACGCCGCGUGGGGGAUGACGGCCUUCGGGUUGUAAACCUCUUUCGCCAGGGACGAAGCUUUUGUGACGGUACCUGGAGAAGAAGCACCGGCCAACUACGUGCCAGCAGCCGCGGUAACACGUAGGGUGCGAGCGUUGUCCGGAAUUAUUGGGCGUAAAGAGCUCGUAGGCGGUGUGUCGCGUCGGCCGUGAAAACUUGGGGCUUAACUCUGAGCGUGCGGUCGAUACGGGCAUCACUUGAGUUCGGCAGGGGAGACUGGAAUUCCUGGUGUAGCGGUGAAAUGCGCAGAUAUCAGGAGGAACACCGGUGGCGAAGGCGGGUCUCUGGGUCGAUACUGACGCUGAGGAGCGAAAGCGUGGGGAGCGAACAGGAUUAGAUACCCUGGUAGUCCACGCCGUAAACGUUGGGCGCUAGGUGUGGGGACCAUUCCACGGUUUCUGUGCCGCAGCUAACGCAUUAAGCGCCCCGUCUGGGGAGUACGGCCGCAAGGCU